GGAUGUGAGGGCAAUCUGGCUGAGACAUCUGUCAUUCCAACGAAUGCCAGGGUUGAUUUGGCUGAUAUGGCUGCGAGGCUGGUGUCCACUUCCUCCCUCAUGACUCCAUGUAUAGCCCUCCUGAUGCUGCGCAUCCAGUCAAAGAGGAAGACCCCCCUCACAGAGGAGGACUGUUUGUCAUGGGUAUAUGAGUAGCUGUGUUCCCCUGCUAGAGCCUCCAACAAGCUCCCACAAAGAUAUGAAAGGGUAGUAACUACAUGAAAAUGUUUAUGACAUUCACCUCCUAAAGGAGGU
Molecule: unclassified non-coding RNA, 294 nt
Organism: Fukomys damarensis (Damara mole-rat)
Lineage: Eukaryota; Metazoa; Chordata; Mammalia; Rodentia; Bathyergidae
Gene: 7SK
Rfam family: 7SK RNA
About the family: 7SK was discovered as an abundant small nuclear RNA in the mid-70s but a possible function has only recently been suggested. Two independent studies have found that 7SK RNA binds the CDK9/cyclin T complex (known as elongation factor P-TEFb).
Source: Ensembl